GACGAACGCUGGCGGCGUGCCUAAUACAUGCAAGUAGAACGCACAGUUUAUACCGUAGCUUGCUACACCAUAGACUGUGAGUUGCGAACGGGUGAGUAACGCGUAGGUAACCUGCCUGGUAGCGGGGGAUAACUAUUGGAAACGAUAGCUAAUACCGCAUAAUAUUGAUUAUUGCAUGAUAAUUAAUUGAAAGGUGCAAUUGCACCACUACCAGAUGGACCUGCGUUGUAUUAGCUAGUAGGUGAGGUAACGGCUCACCUAGGCGACGAUACAUAGCCGACCUGAGAGGGUGAUCGGCCACACUGGGACUGAGACACGGCCCAGACUCCUACGGGAGGCAGCAGUAGGGAAGCUUCGGCAAUGGACGAAAGUCUGACCGAGCAACGCCGCGGGAGUGAAGAAGGUUGUCGGAUCGUAAAGCUCUGUUGUAAGAGAAGAACGGGUGUGAGAGUGGAAAGUUCACACUGUGACGGUAUCUUACCAGAAAGGGACGGCUAACUACGUG
RNAcentral lists this ribosomal RNA (505 nucleotides) under uncultured bacterium. RNAcentral describes it as "partial 16S ribosomal RNA". It matches the Rfam family "Bacterial small subunit ribosomal RNA", at positions 28 to 507 of the family's 1533-position model. The record is from RNAcentral.